UACGGAGGGGGCUAGCGUUGUUCGGAAUUACUGGGCGUAAAGCGCACGUAGGCGGACUGUUAAGUCGGGGGUGAAAUCCUGGGGCUCAACCUCAGAAUUGCCUCCGAUACUGGCAGUCUCGAGUGCGGGAGAGGUGAGUGGAAUUCCCAGUGUAGAGGUGAAAUUCGUAGAUAUUGGGAAGAACACCAGUGGCGAAGGCGGCUCACUGGCCCGUAACUGACGCUGAGGUGCGAAAGCUAGGGGAGCAAACAGG
RNAcentral lists this ribosomal RNA (253 nucleotides) under uncultured bacterium. RNAcentral describes it as "partial 16S ribosomal RNA". It matches the Rfam family "Bacterial small subunit ribosomal RNA", at positions 524 to 776 of the family's 1533-position model. The record is from RNAcentral.